UAAAAACCCCGACUUCGGAAGGGGUGUAUUUAUUAGAUACAAAACCAAUGCCCUUCGGGGCUCUUUGGUGAUUCAUGAUAACUAUACGAAUCGCACGGCCUUGCGCCGGCGAUGGUUCAUUCAAAUUUCUUCCCUAUCAACUUUCGAUGUUUGGGUAUUGGCCAAACAUGGUUGCAACGGGUAACGGAGGGUUAGGGCUCGACCCCGGAGAAGGAGCCUGAGAAACGGCUACUACAUCCAAGGAAGGCAGCAGGCGCGCAAAUUACCCAAUCCCGACUCGGGGAGGUAGUGACAAUAAAUACUGAUACAGGGCCCUUUCGGGCCUUGUAAUUGGAAUGAGUACAAUUUAAAUCCCUUAACGAGGAACAAUUGGAGGGCAAGUCUGGUGCCAGCAGCCGCGGUAAUUCCAGCUCCAAUAGCGUAUAUUAAAGUUGUUGUGGUUAAAAAGCUCGUAGUUGAACCUGGGGGCUGGGUGGGCGGUCCGCCUCACCGGUUGCUCUGGUUCGGCCGAGCCUAUUAAACUUGUUGUGGCAAAAAAGUUCGUAGUUGAAGGUUGGGAAACGUUGGCUGGACUGU
This 576-nucleotide ribosomal RNA is filed under the name uncultured eukaryote. Its description in RNAcentral is "bacterial SSU rRNA". It matches the Rfam family "Eukaryotic small subunit ribosomal RNA", at positions 174 to 758 of the family's 1831-position model. The record is from RNAcentral.